UACGGAGGGUCCAAGCGUUAUCCGGAAUCAUUGGGUUUAAAGGGUGCGUAGGUGGCCCUGUAAGUCAGUGGUGAAAUAUCUCAGCUUAACUGAGAGGGUGCCAUUGAUACUGCAGUGCUAGAGUGCAGAAAGGGCAAUCGGAAUUCUUGGUGUAGCGGUGAAAUGCGUAGAUAUCAAGAGGAACACCUGAGGCGAAGGCGGGUUGCUAGGCUGACACUGACGCUGAGUGCGCGAAAGCCAGGGGAGCAAACGGG
This 254-nucleotide ribosomal RNA is filed under the name uncultured bacterium. Its description in RNAcentral is "partial 16S ribosomal RNA". It matches the Rfam family "Bacterial small subunit ribosomal RNA", at positions 524 to 776 of the family's 1533-position model. The record is from RNAcentral.